RNAcentral lists this small RNA (78 nucleotides) under Flavobacterium sp. 1. Its description in RNAcentral is "Flavo-1 RNA". It matches the Rfam family "Flavo-1 RNA". The record is from RNAcentral. Lineage: Bacteria; Pseudomonadati; Bacteroidota; Flavobacteriia; Flavobacteriales; Flavobacteriaceae.
CUCUAGCCCUGAUGGAAGGGAAAAUCCUUUUUAUUUUUUUUCAAAAAUAAAAAGAUUGGAAUGACAGCAGGAACUUUG